AAAAGUUGCAUGGUGUAGACCCGAAACCGGGUGACCUAUCCAUGGCCAGGUUGAAGCGAGAGUAAAAUCUCGUGGAGGACCGAACCACGUUGGUGUUGAAAACCAUGGAUGAGCUGUGGAUAGCGAGAAAUUCCAAUCGAACUCGGAGAUAGCUGGUUCUCCUCGAAAUAGCUUUAGGGCUAGCGUCGUGUAAUUGAGUAAUGGAGGUAGAGCACUGAAUGGGCUAGGGGCUAUAGUAGUUACCGAACCCUAUCAAACUCCGAAUGCCAUAUACUUGUAUCACGGCAGUCAGACUGCGAAUGAUAAGAUCCGUAGUCAAAGGGAAACAGCCCAGACCAUCAGCUAAGGUCCAAGUGUAAGUUAAGUGGAAAAGGAUGUGGGAUUUCUAAGACAACUAGGAUGUUGGCUUAGAAGCAGCCACUCAUUUAAAGAGUGCGUAAUAGCUCACUAGUCAAGAGAUCCUGCGCCGAAGAUGUCCGGGGCUCAAACUUACCACCGAAGCUAUGGGUGUACACUAUGUGUACGCGGUAGAGGAGCUUUCUGUAUGGGUUGAAGUCGUACCGUAAGGAGCGGUGGACUGUACAGAAGUGAGAAUGCUGGCAUAAGUAGCGAGAAAUAAGUGAGAAUCUUAUUGGCCGAAAACCUAAGGUUUCCUGGGGAAGGUUCGUCCGCCCAGGGUUAGUCGGGACCUAAGCCGAGGCCGAAAGGCGUAGGUGAUGGACAAUCGGUUGAUAUUCCGAUACCGCCUAUUUACGUUUGAGAAAUGGGGUGACGCAGUAGGAUAAGAUGUGCGCACUAUUGGAUGUGCGUCUAAGCAUUUAGGCAUGCUUGAUAGGUAAAUCCGUCGAGCUAAGCUGAGGUGUGAUGGGGAGCCAUUUAUGGCGAAGUAUCUGAUUCCACACUGCCAAGAAAAGCCUCUAUCGAGUGAAUAGGUGCCCGUACCGCAAACCGACACAGGUAGGUGAGGAGAGAAUCCUAAGGCCAUCGGAAGAAUUGCUGUUAAGGAACUCGGCAAAUUGACCCCGUAACUUCGGGAGAAGGGGUGCCUACGAAAGUAGGCCGCAGAGAAUAGGCCCAAGCAACUGUUUAGCAAAAACACAGGUCUCUGCUAAAGCGAAAGCUGAUGUAUAGGGGCUGACGCCUGCCCGGUGCUGGAAGGUUAAGGGGAACACUUAGCGUAAGCGAAGGUGUGAACUUAAGCCCCAGUAAACGGCGGCCGUAACUAUAACGGUCCUAAGGUAGCGAAAUUCCUUGUCGGGUAAGUUCCGACCCGCACGAAUGGCGUAAUGAUUUGGGCACUGUCUCAACAGCAAAUCCGGCGAAAUUGUAGUGCAAGUGAAGAUGCUUGCUACCCGCGAUUGGACGGAAAGACCCCGUAGAGCUUUACUGUAGCUUAGCAUUGAAUCUCGGUAUUGUCUGUACAGGAUAGGUGGGAGACUUGGAAGCUUGGGCGUCAGCCUGAGUGGAGUCAUCCUUGGGAUACCACCCUGACAGUACUGGGGUUCUAACCGGCGGCCAUGAAUCUGGUCACGGGACAUUGUUAGGUGGGCAGUUUGACUGGGGCGGUCGCCUCCUAAAAAGUAACGGAGGCGCCCAAAAGUUCCCUCAGCGCGGUCGGAAAUCGCGCGAAGAGUGCAAAGGCAGAAGGGAGCUUGACUGCGACACAUACAGGUGGAGCAGGGACGAAAGUCGGGCUUAGUGAUCCGGUGGUACCUCGUGGGAGGGCCAUCGCUCAACGGAUAAAAGCUACCUCGGGGAUAACAGGCUGAUCUCCCCCAAGAGUCCACAUCGACGGGGAGGUUUGGCACCUCGAUGUCGGCUCGUCGCAUCCUGGGGCUGAAGUAGGUCCCAAGGGUUGGGCUGUUCGCCCAUUAAAGCGGCACGCGAGCUGGGUUCAGAACGUCGUGAGACAGUUCGGUCCCUAUCCGUCGCGGGCGUAGGAAAUUUGAGAGGAGCUGUCCUUAGUACGAGAGGACCGGGAUGGACCAACCUCUGGUGCACCAGUUGUCACGCCAGUGGCACAGCUGGGUAGCUAUGUUGGGACUGGAUAAACGCUGAAAGCAUCUAAGCGUGAAGCCAACCUCAAGAUGAGAUUUCCCAUAGCGUAAGCUAGUAAGACUCCUGGAAGAACACCAGGUUGAUAGGUCAGAGAUGUAAGCAUGGCAACAUGUUAAGUUGACUGAUACUAAUAAGUCGAGGGCUUGACCAA
Molecule: ribosomal RNA, 2209 nt
Filed under: Clostridium sporogenes
Lineage: Bacteria; Bacillati; Bacillota; Clostridia; Eubacteriales; Clostridiaceae
Description: bacterial LSU rRNA
Rfam family: Bacterial large subunit ribosomal RNA
Source: RNAcentral